GGGAGAUGGUAAAUUUGACUCUCACCCUCGUCCUUGCACGCACAUGAAGUUCAAGCAUUGGCUAGUAAUUGGACAAAACUAGACCUAACCAUAUGGCCCACUAAGUCAAACUUUUUGUCGGAAAAAUUCUUGCUCAAACUGGUUCCAUUAUGGACCAAGAACACAAAAAACGUGGGAUCCACAAACAAAACUUGUGGGCCCCACAUGCAAAUAUGUUUCUUAGACCAUGAUGGAUUGGGUCUAAGCAAAAUACCUUUUUGUGGUUACCAGUAGUUCUUGUAAGCCAAAAUAGUCCCAUUUCCAUGCUAGACUUGUGGUGUUACAUUCUCUUCCCAUUCAGCUUGCAAUGUGCUCGUUAUGCUAUGAUCUAGCGAGGACUUCCCCAGAGGGCUUUUGUAGAUACAAAAUCAAAUAAGAAUACUACGUUUCACCCUAUGGGCCUUCCAAAUUCCACUUAGUUGUGGUCCUCAUGGGUUAGCUUUGUCAGGACUCUAGCCCAAUGCUCCUUCUUGGGGCUUGCAACAUUAAGGAAAAUGAACGUAAAACCACUUGGUCCCUAAGUUCAAGUGUCUCAGCAAGUAGGCUUGCCGUAUUGCAUUUCACUUUACCUUGAAUGUGGGAACGUGCUAUUGGAGUUUUAACACGCAUUAUGCAUAAAGCAUAUGGGACUUGAUGUGCGUGUCCUUGGUUGUUGCAACUCAAGGAAAAUGAAUGUAAAACCGCUUGGCCCAAAAAUUCAAGUUUGUGUUUAGUAGCAAGGCAAGGGGGCUUGCCUUCUUGCGUUUCUCUCUCUUUAAUGUGGAUCUUGCUAUUGGAGUCUUGACACACAUUUAUGCAGAAAAACAUGUUUAACUUUUUGUGUGUCUGUGUGUAAAUUUCUACCACGUGUCGAGAUUUUGACAAAAUACUUUUUUGUACAACAGUUUUUUUUUUUUUUU
RNAcentral lists this unclassified non-coding RNA (938 nucleotides) under Hevea brasiliensis (rubber tree). The record is from RNAcentral. Lineage: Eukaryota; Viridiplantae; Streptophyta; Magnoliopsida; Malpighiales; Euphorbiaceae.